UCCUUUGCCGAUUCUCCCGAGGAUGACGUCGUGCAGACUAAUGUAGCCGGAUUCGUCUGUGUGACCAAUGUGGAUGUCGAGAGGCAGACGUUUACGGUACUCAGCCCGCAACCUAGACCACUACCGAAUACAGUGCUAUUAUUGUCGGAUAUACAAUUUAUGGAUAGCCAUUAAAGAUAUAGAUAUUUUUCUAUUAUUAAAUAUUAUAAAUGUGAUAGAGGUAAACACAGCGAAAUAAAAUCUUUUCUAAUAACAUUAUAAAUUUUUACCUGGCGCUCACGUGACGUUUACGAGUUUAAGCUGCAAAAAUGAAUCAUGUAACAUCUUAUAAAAAUAUUUUAUAAGCA
Molecule: long non-coding RNA, 347 nt
Organism: Temnothorax curvispinosus
Lineage: Eukaryota; Metazoa; Arthropoda; Insecta; Hymenoptera; Formicidae
Exons: 2
Source: RefSeq, a predicted model, not a curated record